AAUAAACCCAGUUAUAUGUUUUUGUACCCACCUUUAAUCAUUCAUCUUAUUUAAAAUAUUUUUAUAAUAUUUUUAUUGUUAUUAGAUGAUAAAAUAUGAAUAUUACUUUAUAGGUGACUUAAAUUUUAAAAUUCUUUUAUAAAUUUUUUAAAUAAGACGGAUAGUCAAACGUUGAGCACGGAAAUUGAUGACUGUAUUUAUA
Non-coding RNA from Oryza meridionalis, 202 nucleotides. Lineage: Eukaryota; Viridiplantae; Streptophyta; Magnoliopsida; Poales; Poaceae. The record is from Rfam.